This is a small nuclear RNA of Octodon degus (degu), 108 nucleotides long. Lineage: Eukaryota; Metazoa; Chordata; Mammalia; Rodentia; Octodontidae. The record is from Ensembl.
GUGCUCCCUUCAGCAGCACAUAUACUAAAAUCAUAAUGAUACAGAAAAAGAUCAGCACAACCCCUGUGAAAAGAUGACAUACAAAAUGGUAUAAUGUUCCAUAUUUCU